Molecule: long non-coding RNA, 3693 nt
Filed under: Homo sapiens (human)
Lineage: Eukaryota; Metazoa; Chordata; Mammalia; Primates; Hominidae
Description: non-protein coding lnc-URB1-4:1
Source: RNAcentral
GCACCGCUGCCAUCCCCGCCACCCGCCGCGCGCCACGUGCAGUCACCCGGCACAUACAGUUAUCGCCAUUCCACAGAAGAGGAGACUGAGCCCCGGCGCCGUGCCCAAGCUCUCGCAGCCAGGACGGCGACGAGCUGGAGGUCUCAAAACCGGUCAGAUGGCUCCGGAGCCGGGAUCUUUAGCUCCAGCUCGGCUUCCUUUGGGUGCUGGUUGUCCGCAGCGCUGGGGGAUCUGACACUGCACCGGCGCAAACAGCCGCCGAGCGCUAAUAAUUGGGCUUUGUUUUAAAGUGGGCCACAGCAUCUUUCUGAACCUCUAGACUGUGCGCGGGGUGACCCACGUUCGGACGCCCAGCCAGUGGCCUAGGAGUGGCCUGCGUAGCCCCAACUCAAGGGUAUCGAGGACAAGUGCGCGAGGGGCUCCGUGGCUGCUUGCCGGGUGCGGGUACCUGGCGCCCAGCGACCCAAACCCUAUGGAUCGCGCGGGGCCGGCGGAAGGGAGGAGGGCGGGCGCUAGGCACACAGUGUUCCCGAACCCGGCGGGAGGGCCUGCCAAGUUCGCGGCGGGCGUGACGCGGAAACGUAGAUAAUGAGGCCCAGGGCGGGGCCGGACGCACUGCCCCGCGGGCUCCAGAGCUGCGAACGCCCCAGAGUGUGCAGGGAGGCCUGCAGAAAGAAAAUGCGGCUGAGGGUCCCCGUGGGACCCACUCAGAGGUGGGCCGUAAAGAUCCCGGAAGGGUGGAUGGCAUUAGAUACCACCUAGUACUCCAGCAAGGGCUGGGUCACCGAAUUGGGAUCUCGGCCUCUUCUUCCAGUCUGGGGAAAAGUGUGUUAAAUGCUAAACAUCAGUGUUUAUCGAGUGAGGCCCAGCCUGUCUGGCAUAAUGAUUUUUAAAAUCUACAUUCAAAUAUUAAAUAAAAACUCAACCUCCCCAAUAACAUUUGAACAUAAAUAUUAGUGUGCGCUCUCUAGGUUAGGGAAACUGAAGCUGGGAGUGUGGGUAAGGAUGCCCAGCACUUAGGAGCCACAGGGUAAGUAAUGUUUGUCCAAAACUCGGGUCCCUCCUGUACUUUCCAUUCUGUCUGUUCAUUCAUCCAGUUUAGAUAUGAAUUGGUACCAACGUGUGCCAGGUUCUGCGCUAGUGACUGACAGUGUUGGCACAGGGAGGCAGCCAUGCUCCCGAGUCCUGGGAGUGGGCAGCACUGCCCUGUGGGUCUGCACUGGCUUCCAAAUGUCUAAGUGGGCACUGUUACUCACUGUGACAGCAUCCCCAGGCUUUCUUACCUGGUAAAGCAGAAACUCAAACAUACUUACACACCAAUAUUCAUUGCAGCAUUAUUUAUGAUGGCCAAAAGAUGGAAGCAACUCCAGUGGAUGAAUGCAUACAGUUACUAUUACAGCAGGGAAGACAGACAUUGGAAAAUAAUGCCCCGUGAACGGACAGUCACGAAAGACAGGAACCAUGGGAGCAGAAGCGAGGAAUGAAGGAGCUGAGCCCGAGGGAGGAAGGGAGAUAUUCAGGAGCAUUUUAAGGCAAGAUGGAUGAGAAAGCUAGAGGAUGAAUUGGCCAAGCAAAAACUAGCAAAACCCGGGUGUUGCGGGAGGAUGAACAUUUUAGAAAAAGGGACCAGCAUGUUGAAAUCCAAAAGGAGCAUGGCUGUCUUGAAGGAUGGGGAAAAGUCUAGACAGCUGGAGCAGAGCAAAGGGAAGAGCCAGGGGACUUGGAGGUAGGCAGGCCAGAGCUCAGGGCCCUGGAGACUUUGGUGAGAAUUUCCGUCUUUUAUCUUAAGCCAGCAAAGAACUGUAAGUACAAAAGUGAUGUGAUUGGAUGUGUGUUGGUAAAAAGUCCUUCUCGGCUGCUGAGUGCAAAUGGACUGGAGGAGUCAAAAGCAGGCCCUGGAAGUAUGUGUGCCAAAUAACUAAAAGCAGAGACAGACUCAAACAGAUACUUAUGCACCAAUAUUCCUUGCAGCAUUAUUUAGAAGAGCUGACAGAUGGAAGAACCUCAGUGGAUGAAUGGAUAAACAAUAUAUGGCAUGUGGCCGGCUGCAGUGGCUGGUGCCUGUAAUCCCAGCACUUUGGGAGGCCGAGGUGGGUGGAUCACCUGAGGUCAGGAGUUCAAGACCAGCCUGACCCACACGGUGAAACCCCAUCUCUACUAAAAAUACAAUAUUAGCCAGGUAUGGCGGCACACGCUUGUAGUCCCACCUACUCGGGAGGCUGAGGCAGGAGUAUUGCUUGAACCCGGGAGGCAGAGGCUGCAGUGAGCCAAGGUUGCACCACUGCACUCCAGCCUGGGCAAGACAGAGCGAGACUCCGUCUCAAAAAAGAAAAGUGGGUCUGGGGAGAUGGCCGUGGUGAGGGAGAGAGUGCAGUCAGGGGUUUAUGGCUGUGCUUGGGCUGAUGUGCUCGCUGUACACCCAGAAAGAAGAGGAGAAGCGGCCACAAUGGAAGGAUGUUUAGAAGGCAGAUGGACAGCACAAUGCGACCGGGCAGUCGUGGGCUAUGAGAGGGUCUGAAGGACGUCUCCCUGGCUUCCCUCUGUUUUGUCCCUUAGCCCCUCACUGUUAAAUCAGAAGAUUUUGGUCCUAAUCUGAUCUCUUUAAGAAUUUUGGAAUCUUGCGAGAAAACUGAAUUGCUCAGUUAUCUUUCUCUCUGGACCCCACACUUUUCUAAGAGCUUUGUAGGUCAAAUACCUUAACUCUGAGGCACUAUAACAACUCAUAGGACGGAAAAGUGGGAAAAGGAAUAUAUGUUUCAAAGAGGGAUGAACAGUGUAAAAUCAAUCUGGGGUCUGGAGAGAAAUAAUCUUUUCCACCGAGGCAGUUUUCCUUAAAUGCUUUCUACUAUGAUGGAAUUUGAAUAAUAAAAACAGUCAUAGCCACUUGGUAUUUCAACACAGUUAUGGGAGCUGGAAUUAAAGUGAAUGAUGACUGGUGUGCCAAAUAAUAAAGUGUUUCCAAAAUAUUAAUACUCACAACAACCCUUUGAGAUAGGUACUAACUAGGCUAACUACGUCAUUUACUUGCCCAGUGCAAAACGAAAAUGUGGGGCCCCUCGUUCAAGGAUUAUUAAGAAUUCCAGGAUGAUAAUAGCAGAGCAUUAAACCAAGCAUAGUUUAAUGCUUUGAACACAGGGCCCUGAGUGAUUGCUCAGGUCAUAUGAAGCUGGCCCAGGUACAACAGGAAUCUUCAUUUCUCAGAUGGGGAGACUGAGGGCACAGAGUCAUACUGACCGUCCGAACCAAGACUUGAAGCCCUCUUAUACUGCAAAGGCACAGCAAUUAGGUGGAGGUAAAAUAAAGGGUUCUUUUCUAAGUGAUGGCACCAUUGGGCAAUCUUGUUCCUUCUUGUACUAGUUUGAAAAGUGCCUCUGUAGUCACAGCAUUCAGUCCAUGUGUGCAAGAGGCAACCUUUACAGGACAUUGUAAAUUACACGUCUUACUUUCUGUCUCUUUGUUUUCUUUUAAAGCAAUUCCUGCACCUUCUUUUCAGCUCCAUGUUACAUCUCUAUUUUCCUUCUUCCUUGAGAUCCUAGCUACUUGUCUCUCACCCUCUGCCAUAUCCAAGCCUAUUUAUUUUUUCUUUAGGUGGAGUCUUGCUCUGUUGCCCAAGCUGGAGUGCAGUGGCACGAUCUUGGCUCACUGAUAUCUCCGCCUCCUGGGUUCAAGUGAUUCUCCUGACUUAGCCUCCCA